CAGUCGCCGCGGUAAUACGAAGGGGGCUAGCGUUGUUCGGAUUUACUGGGCGUAAAGGGUGCGUAGGCGGACUGAUAAGUCAGGGGUGAAACCCCAAGGCUCAACCUUGGAACUGCCUUUGAUACUGUUAGUCUUGAGUUCGAGAGAGGUGAGUGGAACUGCGAGUGUAGAGGUGAAAUUCGUAGAUAUUCGCAAGAACACCAGUGGCGAAGGCGGCUCACUGGCUCGAAACUGACGCUGAGGCGCGAAAGCGUGGGGAGCAAACAGGAUUAGAGACCCCGGUAGUCCCUGUCUCUUAUAC
RNAcentral lists this ribosomal RNA (301 nucleotides) under uncultured bacterium. RNAcentral describes it as "partial 16S ribosomal RNA". It matches the Rfam family "Bacterial small subunit ribosomal RNA", at positions 509 to 807 of the family's 1533-position model. The record is from RNAcentral.